RNAcentral lists this ribosomal RNA (888 nucleotides) under uncultured bacterium. RNAcentral describes it as "bacterial SSU rRNA". It matches the Rfam family "Bacterial small subunit ribosomal RNA", at positions 52 to 932 of the family's 1533-position model. The record is from RNAcentral.
CACAUGCAAGUCGGGGGGCAGCAUGAUUGAAGCUUGCUUCAAUUGAUGGCGACCGGCGCACGGGUGAGUAACGCGUAUCCAACCUUCCGUACACUCAGGGAUAGCCUUUCGAAGGAAAGAUUAAUACCCGAUGGUAUGAUGAGAUUGCAUGAUAGCAUCAUUAAAGAUUUAUCGGUGUACGAUGGGGAUGCGUUCCAUUAGGUAGUAGGCGGGGUAACGGCCCACCUAGCCGACGAUGGAUAGGGGUUCUGAGAGGAAGGUCCCCCACAUUGGAACUGAGACACGGUCCAAACUCCUACGGGAGGCAGCAGUGAGGAAUAUUGGUCAAUGGACGAGAGUCUGAACCAGCCAAGUAGCGUGAAGGAUGAAGGUCUUACGGAUUGUAAACUUCUUUUAUAAGGGAAUAAAACCUCCCACGUGUGGGAGCUUGUAUGUACCUUAUGAAUAAGCAUCGGCUAACUCCGUGCCAGCAGCCGCGGUAAUACGGAGGAUGCGAGCGUUAUCCGGAUUUAUUGGGUUUAAAGGGAGCGCAGACGGGUCGUUAAGUCAGCUGUGAAAGUUUGGGGCUCAACCUUAAAAUUGCAGUUGAUACUGGCGUCCUUGAGUGCGGUUGGGGUGUGCGGAAUUCGUGGUGUAGCGGUGAAAUGCUUAGAUAUCACGAAGAACUCCGAUUGCGAAGGCAGCACACUAAGCCGUAACUGACGUUCAUGCUCGGAAGUGUGGGUAUCAAACAGGAUUAGAUACCCUGGUAGUCCACACGGUAAACGAUGGAUACUCGCUGUUGGCGAUAUACGGUCAGCGGCUUAGCGAAAGCGUUAAGUAUCCCACCUGGGGAGUACGCCGGCAACGGUGAAACUCAAAGGAAUCGACGGGGGCCCGCACAAGCGG